AGAGGAGGAAUCUUGGGACUGGGGGUUGAGGGAGACUGACCGGAUAGAGACAUCGCUGUAGAAUGUAGGGGGGCCCUGGGGCCAGUCGAGGCCCUAGAAGAUCCAGAUAUUACAUCGUAAGGCUGGCAGUGGGGCCUUGUUAAAGAGAGGGCGACUGAAAUAUCGACGGCGACUGGCUUUACACGUUAUUUACAAGCGUGAAUAAAACUGUGUUGGAUCCUGACCUCAAUUCAGGAAUAAACGUACGAAAGGACAGGAUGUAUUGCGGAAGGUGAUUUUGAUUUGUAGAAACAGAUCGAAUGGAUGAAGUUUGCCUGGGGACCAUGUUACCAGCCACACCUGCUUUAUCUCUUGAAAGAUUGAGGUUAGGUCUGCGCUCUUCGUCGACGUCCGCCGACGCCGUCCCAAGGGCGUUUGAAUCAAGACUGAAGACUGAGAUGGGUUAUGAUACAGGAUCCAUGGUCAGUGGCCCGUUGAAGAGCAGUGGCAGAUCUGAGAACUGAUUGUCAGGAGUUACCUUACGGAAGAUGGCGCGUAUCUACAGCCACGCUGCUCUUGAUCGCAUCUGCCUUGCGAACCUACCUGGGCUGGACGCCAUCGACGAAAUGAUAAAAGAUUCAUUGCCAUAGGAUGCUUACUCUUUUUAUCUCUAUCUAUAUCUGAGGCUCCACUUAGUCCUUCUGGAUCUUCUCUGUCGCUCCUAUCUGCUCCGAGUUCCUGAGCUCUGCUUGCCGAUGAAAGCGAUUUAACGCCGCCGGUACCGAUGCGUUGAUUUCACUAACGAAGCCAGC
Long non-coding RNA from Cephus cinctus (wheat stem sawfly), 791 nucleotides. RefSeq lists it as uncharacterized. The transcript is spliced from 5 exons. Lineage: Eukaryota; Metazoa; Arthropoda; Insecta; Hymenoptera; Cephidae. The record is from RefSeq and is a predicted model, not a curated record.